RNAcentral lists this long non-coding RNA (315 nucleotides) under Elaeis guineensis (African oil palm). RNAcentral describes it as "long non-coding RNA (EGUI_LNC071807)". Lineage: Eukaryota; Viridiplantae; Streptophyta; Magnoliopsida; Arecales; Arecaceae. The record is from RNAcentral.
UAUGAGGUCAAAAUUAUUGGUAGAUCACCAUUAUUAGUUUAGCGUUUCUAAGAUACUCCACAGUGAUCUGAUAAAUGUCCAAGAAGUUAAUGAGAUUAUCAGUGUUGAUUAUAUUAACAUUGAGAACUCCCUUUAUAUGGAGCCAUGAAGAAGCAAGGCAGCCCUCUAGGUGGGCAGCUCUCAAAGAUUUCAAAGUUUUAUAUGGAGUCUAUAGAAAUUAGUGAGAUGCUCCUGUUAACAAACUGUGCACCAAUGUGCCAAGAGGGCCAAUGCAAUAGCAAGAGUAUAACUCUUAAGUUGUACAUGUUUUAGGGA